GAUGAACGCUGGCGGCGUGCCUAAUACAUGCAAGUCGAGCGAACAGACGAGGAGCUUGCUCCUCUGACGUUAGCGGCGGAAGGGUGAGUAACACGUGGAUAACCUACCUAUAAGACUGGGAUAACUUCGGGAAACCGGAGCUAAUACCGGAUAAUAUAUUGAACCGUAUGGUUCAUUAGUGAAAGACGGUUUUGCUGUCAAUUAUAGAUGGAUAUGCGCCGCAUUAGCUAGUUGGUAAGGUAACGGCUUACCAAGGCGACGAUGAGUAACCGACCUGAGAGAGGGAUCGGCCACACGUGAACUGAAACGCGGUCCAGACUCCUACGGGAGGCACCAGUAGGCUAUGCUCCUCAGUGGUCGAAGACUGGACGGAGCAACGCCGAGGGUGAUAGUAAGUUCUUCGGUUCGGAAAACUCUGCUUUGGGUGAAGAACAAAUGUGGAAGUAACUAGACACUUCUUGACGGUACCGUAUCAAAAAGCCACGGCUAACUACGUG
Molecule: ribosomal RNA, 497 nt
Filed under: uncultured bacterium
Lineage: Bacteria
Description: partial 16S ribosomal RNA
Rfam family: Bacterial small subunit ribosomal RNA
Source: RNAcentral